Molecule: ribosomal RNA, 240 nt
Filed under: uncultured Lactobacillus sp.
Lineage: Bacteria; Bacillati; Bacillota; Bacilli; Lactobacillales; Lactobacillaceae
Description: partial 16S ribosomal RNA
Rfam family: Bacterial small subunit ribosomal RNA
Source: RNAcentral
UAACCUGCCCAAGAGAUCGGGAUAACACCUGGAAACAGAUGCUAAUACCGGAUAACAACAGAUGAUGCCUAUCAACUGUUUAAAAGAUGGUUCUGCUAUCACUCUUGGAUGGACCUGCGGUGCACUAGCUAGUUGGUAGGGUAACGGCCUACCAAGGCGAUGAUGCAUAGCCGAGUUGAGAGACUGAUCGGCCACAUUGGGACUGAGACACGGCCCAAACUCCUACGGGAGGCAGCAGUG